GCUGCCGUAGCUCAGUGGUAGAGCACUCCAUUGGUAAUGGAGAGGUCGACAGUUCAAUCCUGUCUGGCAGCACCA
Molecule: transfer RNA, 75 nt
Filed under: Leptospira interrogans
Lineage: Bacteria; Pseudomonadati; Spirochaetota; Leptospiria; Leptospirales; Leptospiraceae
Also listed under: 738 other names
Description: tRNA-Thr
Rfam family: tRNA
About the family: Transfer RNA (tRNA) molecules are approximately 80 nucleotides in length. Their secondary structure includes four short double-helical elements and three loops (D, anti-codon, and T loops).
Source: RNAcentral